Molecule: ribosomal RNA, 467 nt
Filed under: uncultured bacterium
Lineage: Bacteria
Description: partial 16S ribosomal RNA
Rfam family: Bacterial small subunit ribosomal RNA
Source: RNAcentral
GACGAACGCUGGCGGCGUGCUUAACACAUGCAAGUCGAACGGAAAGGCCCUGCUUUUGUGGGGUGCUCGAGUGGCGAACGGGUGAGUAACACGUGAGUAACCUGCCCCUGACUUUGGGAUAACUUCAGGAAACUGGGGCUAAUACCGGAUAGGAGCUCCUGCUGCAUGGUGGGGGUUGGAAAGUUUCGGCGGUUGGGGAUGGACUCGCGGCUUAUCAGCUUGUUGGUGGGGUAGUGGCUUACCAAGGCUUUGACGGGUAGCCGGCCUGAGAGGGUGACCGGCCCCAUGGGGACUGGGAAAGGGCCCAGACCCCUACGGGAGGCAGAGGUGGGAAUAUUGCACAAUGGGCGGAAGCCUGAUGCAGCAACGCCGCGUGCGGGAUGACGGCCUUCGGGUUGUAAACCGCUUUCGCCUGUGACGAAGCGUGAGUGACGGUAAUGGGUAAAGAAGCACCGGCUAACUACGUG